Molecule: ribosomal RNA, 520 nt
Filed under: uncultured bacterium
Lineage: Bacteria
Description: bacterial SSU rRNA
Rfam family: Bacterial small subunit ribosomal RNA
Source: RNAcentral
AGGGUUCGAUUCUGGCUCAGGAUGAACGCUAGCUACAGGCUUAACACAUGCAAGUCGUGGGGCAGCAUGGUCUUAGCUGCUAAGACUGAUGGCGACCGGCGCACGGGUGAGUAACGCGUAUCCAACCUGGCCCACAGUAGGGGAUAGCCCGGCGAAAGUCGGAUUAAUACCCUAUGUUUUCCUUUGAGAGCAUUUGACGAGGAACAAAGAUCAUCGCUAUGGGAUGGGGAUGCGUCCGAUUAGCUUGACGGCGGGGUAACGGCCCACCGUGGCUUCGAUCGGUAGGGGUUCUGAGAGGAAGGUCCCCCACAUUGGAACUGAGACACGGUCCAAACUCCUACGGGAGGCAGCAGUGAGGAAUAUUGGUCAAUGGGCGAAGGCCUGAACCAAGCCAAGUAGCGUGAGGGAUGACUGCCCUACGGGUUGUAAACCUCUUUUGCGGGGGAAUAAAGUGCGGGACGCGUCCCGUUUUGUAUGUACCCUGAGAAUAAGGACCGGCUAAUUCCGUGCCAGCCGCGGC